This 215-nucleotide ribosomal RNA is filed under the name Shigella flexneri. Its description in RNAcentral is "partial 23S ribosomal RNA". It matches the Rfam family "Bacterial large subunit ribosomal RNA", at positions 2715 to 2925 of the family's 2925-position model. The record is from RNAcentral. Lineage: Bacteria; Pseudomonadati; Pseudomonadota; Gammaproteobacteria; Enterobacterales; Enterobacteriaceae.
UUCGGGUUGUCAUGCCAAUGGCACUGCCCGGUAGCUAAAUGCGGAAGAGAUAAGUGCUGAAAGCAUCUAAGCACGAAACUUGCCCCGAGAUGAGUUCUCCCUGACCCUUUAAGGUCCUGAAGGAACGUUGAAGACGACGACGUUGAUAGGCCGGGUGUGUAAGCGCAGCGAUGCGUUGAGCUAACCGGUACUAAUGAACCGUGAGGCUUAACCUU